This 139-nucleotide ribosomal RNA is filed under the name Acinetobacter sp. 88816. RNAcentral describes it as "partial 16S ribosomal RNA". The stretch from base 76 to 139 matches the Rfam family "tRNA", at positions 1 to 61 of the family's 71-position model. The record is from RNAcentral. Lineage: Bacteria; Pseudomonadati; Pseudomonadota; Gammaproteobacteria; Moraxellales; Moraxellaceae.
AGAAUGUCGGCGGUUCGAUCCCGUCAGCGCCCACCAUAAUUUGUGACCAUACUUUAUUUUUAAAGUAUUGCAAGUGCAGCGGUAGUUCAGUUGGUUAGAAUACCGGCCUGUCACGCCGGGGGUCGCGGGUUCGAGCCCC